This 373-nucleotide ribosomal RNA is filed under the name uncultured organism. Its description in RNAcentral is "partial 16S ribosomal RNA". It matches the Rfam family "Bacterial small subunit ribosomal RNA", at positions 527 to 896 of the family's 1533-position model. The record is from RNAcentral.
GGAGGGUGCAAGCGUUACUCGGAAUUACUGGGCGUAAAGCGCGCGUAGGCGGUUUGGGUAAGUCUGACGUGAAAGCCCAGGGGCUCAACCCUGGAAGUGCAUUGGAUACUGCUAGACUAGAGUAUGGGAGAGGAGAGUGGAAUUCCUGGUGUAGAGGUGAAAUUCGUAGAUAUCAGGAGGAACACCGGCGGCGAAGGCGGCUCUCUGGACCAUUACUGACGCUGAGGUGCGAAAGCGUGGGUAGCAAACAGGAUUAGAUACCCUGGUAGUCCACGCUGUAAACGAUGGACACUAGAUGUCGGGAGAUUCUACCCUCUCGGUGUCGUAGUUAACGCGUUAAGUGUCCCGCCUGGGGAGUACGACCGCAAGGUUA